GACGAACCGUGCGAACGUUGUUCGGAAUUACUGGGCGUAAAGGGCUCGUAGGCGGCCAACUAAGUCGGACGUGAAAUCCCCAGGCUCAACCUGGGAACUGCGUCCGAUACUGGAUGGCUUGAAUCCGGGAGAGGGAUGCAGAAUUCCAGGUGUAGCGGUGAAAUGCGUAGAUAUCUGGAGGAAUACCGGUGGCGAAGGCGGCAUCCUGGACCGGCAUUGACGCUGAGGAGCGAAAGCCAGGGGAGCAAACGGG
This 253-nucleotide ribosomal RNA is filed under the name uncultured bacterium. RNAcentral's name for it is "partial 16S ribosomal RNA". It matches the Rfam family "Bacterial small subunit ribosomal RNA", at positions 524 to 776 of the family's 1533-position model. The record is from RNAcentral.